RNAcentral lists this ribosomal RNA (114 nucleotides) under Saprospiraceae bacterium. Lineage: Bacteria; Pseudomonadati; Bacteroidota; Saprospiria; Saprospirales; Saprospiraceae. The record is from RNAcentral.
UCUGGUGGUUAUAGCGAAAGGGUUCCACCUCUUCCCAUUCCGAACAGAGAAGUUAAGCCUUUCUGCGCCGAUGGUACUGCCCCAAGCGGGUGGGAGAGUAGGUCGCUGCCUGAU